RNAcentral lists this ribosomal RNA (739 nucleotides) under uncultured bacterium. RNAcentral's name for it is "bacterial SSU rRNA". It matches the Rfam family "Bacterial small subunit ribosomal RNA", at positions 118 to 869 of the family's 1533-position model. The record is from RNAcentral.
UGAGUAACCUGCCCUUGACUCUGGGAUAAGCCUGGGAAACUGGGUCUAAUACCGGAUAUGACUCCUCAUCGCAUGGUGGGGGGUGGAAAGCUUUUGUGGUUUUGGAUGGACUCGCGGCCUAUCAGCUUGUUGGUGGGGUAAUGGCCUACCAAGGCGACGACGGGUAGCCGGCCUGAGAGGGUGACCGGCCACACUGGNACUGAGACACGGCCCAGACUCCUACGGGAGGCAGCAGUGGGGAAUAUUGCACAAUGGGCGCAAGCCUGAUGCAGCGACGCCGCGUGAGGGAUGACAGCCUUCGGGUUGUAAACCUCUUUCAGUAGGGAAGAAGCGUAAGUGACGGUACCUGCAGAAGAAGCGCCGGCUAACUACGUGCCAGCAGCCGCGGUAAUACGUAGGGCGCAAGCGUUAUCCGGAAUUAUUGGGCGUAAAGAGCUCGUAGGCGGUUUGUCGCGUCUGCUGUGAAAGACCGGGGCUCAACUCCGGUUCUGCAGUGGGUACGGGCAGACUAGAGUGCAGUAGGGGAGACUGGAAUUCCUGGUGUAGCGGUGAAAUGCGCAGAUAUCAGGAGGAACACCGAUGGCGAAGGCAGGUCUCUGGGCUGUAACUGACGCUGAGGAGCGAAAGCAUGGGGAGCGAACAGGAUUAGAUACCCUGGUAGUCCAUGCCGUAAACGUUGGGCACUAGGUGUGGGGGACAUUCCACGUUUUCCGCGCCGUAGCUAACGCAUUAAGUGCCC